Molecule: transfer RNA, 43 nt
Filed under: Hedwigia ciliata
Lineage: Eukaryota; Viridiplantae; Streptophyta; Bryopsida; Hedwigiales; Hedwigiaceae
Also listed under: 26 other names
Description: partial transfer RNA-Phe
Rfam family: tRNA
About the family: Transfer RNA (tRNA) molecules are approximately 80 nucleotides in length. Their secondary structure includes four short double-helical elements and three loops (D, anti-codon, and T loops).
Source: RNAcentral
GCCGGGAUAGCUCAGUUGGUAGAGCAGAGGACUGAAAAUCCUC